Molecule: ribosomal RNA, 483 nt
Filed under: uncultured bacterium
Lineage: Bacteria
Description: partial 16S ribosomal RNA
Rfam family: Bacterial small subunit ribosomal RNA
Source: RNAcentral
GACGAACGCUGGCGGCGUGCUUAACACAUGCAAGUCGAACGCUGAAGCUCAGCUUUUGUUGGGUGGAUGAGUGGCGAACGGGUGAGUAACACGUGAGUAACCUGCCCCCUUCUUUGGGAUAACGCCCGGAAACGGGUGCUAAUACUGGAUAUUCACUGGUCUUCGCAUGGGGGUUGGUGGAAAGGGUUUUUCUGGUGGGGGAUGGGCUCGCGGCCUAUCAGCUUGUUGGUGGGGUGAUGGCCUACCAAGGCUUUGACGGGUAGCCGGCCGGAGAGGGUGACCGGUCACAUUGGGACUGAGAUACGGCCCAGACUACUACGGGAGGCAGCAGUGGGGAAUAUUGCACAAUGGGCGCAAGCCUGAUGCAGCGACGCCGCGUGAGGGAUGGAGGCCUUCGGGUUGUGAACCUCUUUCGCUCAUGGUCAAGCCGCAACAAUGGUUGUGGUGAGGGUAGUGGGUAAAGAAGCGCCGGCUAACUACGUG